UUUUUGUGUGGUUUUGAGUUGCACGGUGUCUGUAGGUGAACAUGCGGAAAGAUCAUUAUCACACCCAGAUACACGAUAUGUUUUUACACGUGAACCGGGGAGUGUAUGUGGCCUUGUGAAAACACAGAGGACAGCAGAGAGAGAGACACCUGUUGCUUUCAGUGGGUGUUGCUCGGCUAGACUCCCCAACCCCCUCUUUUUUACACCAUCACAUGAGAGACGGUGCCUUUUCAUGGAAGGUGGCCUGUGUAUCAGAAAACAAGCUCUCGCAAUGCACGGGUGGGAAGCCUGUAGAGCAAGGUGCUACUCCAUAAAAGGAUGUAUCAAACAACCCUCAGCACAGGAUGUGUAUGUGUCCACAAAGAUGAAGAACGCAGAGAAAUGUGAUAUGUAAUGUGAAAUGCAAGAUCUCGUGAAUCAUUAAAAUUUUGAACGCACACUGCGCUCCCCGGAUCUUUUCAGGGAGCACGCUUGUGUGAGUGUCAGAGAAUCUCGCUCGGGGCUUGAGUUGGGAGCACCCCAAGGGUGGCAGCCGGAAUUUGUUCCUGGGUUGGCUUUGUUCUCCCCCUGAAACAAAUCAAACCAACAAACGGUGGUGGGUGCCUGCGAGCUUGUCAGUUUUUCUUCUCUCCCUUUGGGAACAAGAGGAUGGACUGUGUCAUGCCGUGGGAUGUUAUAUCCUCGCGCUGGAAAGCCCUCGUCUUUUGCAAAUGGUGCAAGCCAGAACGAAGACUGGGGUGGCGUGGAGAUAAUCCCUUGUAGGUGCGAUGCAACUGUCUCCUGUUUUCAUGAGUUUGGAAAGAAUCCAAGCCUGCUGAAGCGUCGUUUGGAUGGUGCCAUUGUACCCAUCCUCCGAACCACCCUUCCUGAUCUCAGCUCAAGCAAGAGACCCCU
RNAcentral lists this ribosomal RNA (894 nucleotides) under Amphora sp. BQW1. RNAcentral describes it as "eukaryotic LSU rRNA". The stretch from base 330 to 485 matches the Rfam family "5.8S ribosomal RNA". Lineage: Eukaryota; Bacillariophyta; Bacillariophyceae; Surirellales; Surirellaceae. The record is from RNAcentral.